This 212-nucleotide long non-coding RNA is filed under the name Elaeis guineensis (African oil palm). RNAcentral's name for it is "long non-coding RNA (EGUI_LNC014346)". Lineage: Eukaryota; Viridiplantae; Streptophyta; Magnoliopsida; Arecales; Arecaceae. The record is from RNAcentral.
CCUCUCCCUCUCACUGAUCUCUCUCAUGAUGAAAUUGUAUAAUGCUAUGCACAUAUUACUAUUGAGAACUCUAGUUAAUUUUUCAAUGCCAACUCGCUUAAAUUCGAGUAACAGCUAGCAAAGAAAUGCCACCAAAUUGGAAGAUGCGACUCAACUGAAGCCUACCCAAGCAACAUGAAGAGGUGCUGGUUCUUGUUGGGAUAGCAACGGCA